UACGGAGGAUCCGAGCGUUAUCCGGAUUUAUUGGGUUUAAAGGGAGCGUAGAUGGGUUGUUAAGUCAGUUGUGAAAGUUUGCGGCUCAACCGUAAAAUUGCAAUUGAUACUGGCAGUCUUGAGUACAGUUGAGGUAGGCGGAAUUCGUGGUGUAGCGGUGAAAUGCUUAGAUAUCACGAAGAACUCCGAUUGCGAAGGCAGCUUACUAACCUGUAACUGACAUUGAUGCUCGAAAGUGUGGGUAUCAAACAGG
This 253-nucleotide ribosomal RNA is filed under the name Phocaeicola massiliensis B84634 = Timone 84634 = DSM 17679 = JCM 13223. RNAcentral's name for it is "partial 16S ribosomal RNA". It matches the Rfam family "Bacterial small subunit ribosomal RNA", at positions 524 to 776 of the family's 1533-position model. The record is from RNAcentral. RNAcentral also lists the same sequence under 3 other names. Lineage: Bacteria; Pseudomonadati; Bacteroidota; Bacteroidia; Bacteroidales; Bacteroidaceae.